This 123-nucleotide small RNA is filed under the name Pseudomonas panipatensis. Its description in RNAcentral is "Pseudomonas rpsL leader". It matches the Rfam family "Pseudomonas rpsL leader". The record is from RNAcentral. Lineage: Bacteria; Pseudomonadati; Pseudomonadota; Gammaproteobacteria; Pseudomonadales; Pseudomonadaceae.
AGUCGGGGCUUUGUCUUGACGGUGUGCGGGAAGCUCAUUAGUAUCCUGUACCCCGAAAAUUGGCAGGGCGCUCGCUCCUGCCAUUUCGUUUAUGUGUCGUAAGACAAUCAGUGGAGCUAUAGA